Molecule: small nuclear RNA, 344 nt
Filed under: Jaculus jaculus (lesser Egyptian jerboa)
Lineage: Eukaryota; Metazoa; Chordata; Mammalia; Rodentia; Dipodidae
Description: 7SK RNA (ENSJJAG00000001111.1)
Rfam family: 7SK RNA
About the family: 7SK was discovered as an abundant small nuclear RNA in the mid-70s but a possible function has only recently been suggested.
Source: Rfam by way of RNAcentral
GUAAGUGAAGGCAAUUUGGCUGCGACAUCUGUCACCCCAUUGAUCCCCAGGGUUGAUUCAGUGAUCCAGCUGGAAAGGCAGGUUUCUCCCUCCCCCCCUCACCACUCCAUGCAUGCGCCUCCUGAAGCUGCACACUCGGUCAAAGAGGACGACCUUCUGCAAAUGGAGGAGGACGACCUUCUGCAAGUGGAGGAGGACCAGUCUUCAGUCAGGGAUAUGCCAGAAGCUUUGCUCCCCUGCUAGAACCUCUGAACAAGAGCUCAUAACUAACAUCGUAGAACAAAUGGACCUAAGGAACAGCUACAAAACAUCCCAUCCAAAAAUUUCAAAAAAUGCAUUCUUUU